UACGUAGGGUGCAAGCGUUAAUCGGAAUUACUGGGCGUAAAGCGUGCGCAGGCGGUUUUGUAAGUCUGUCGUGAAAGCCCCGGGCUCAACCUGGGAAUUGCGAUGGAGACUGCAAGGCUUGAAUCUGGCAGAGGGGGGUAGAAUUCCACGUGUAGCAGUGAAAUGCGUAGAGAUGUGGAGGAACACCGAUGGCGAAGGCAGCCCCCUGGGCCAGCACUGACGCUCAUGCACGAAAGCGUGGGGAGCAAACAGG
Molecule: ribosomal RNA, 253 nt
Filed under: uncultured bacterium
Lineage: Bacteria
Description: partial 16S ribosomal RNA
Rfam family: Bacterial small subunit ribosomal RNA
Source: RNAcentral